This 1344-nucleotide ribosomal RNA is filed under the name uncultured bacterium. Its description in RNAcentral is "16S ribosomal RNA". It matches the Rfam family "Bacterial small subunit ribosomal RNA", at positions 28 to 1378 of the family's 1533-position model. The record is from RNAcentral.
GACGAACGCUGGCGGCGUUGCUUAACACAUGCAAGUCGAACGGAAAGGCCCUGCUUUUGUGGGGUGCUCGAGUGGCGAACGGGUGAGUAACACGUGAGUAACCUGCCCUUGACUUUGGGAUAACUUCAGGAAACUGGGGCUAAUACCGGAUAGGAGCUCCUGCUGCAUGGUGGGGGUUGGAAAGUUUCGGCGGUUGGGGAUGGACUCGCGGCUUAUCAGCUUGUUGGUGGGGUAGUGGCUUACCAAGGCUUUGACGGGUAGCCGGCCUGAGAGGGUGACCGGCCACAUUGGGACUGAGAUACGGCCCAGACUCCUACGGGAGGCAGCAGUGGGGAAUAUUGCACAAUGGGCGGAAGCCUGAUGCAGCAACGCCGCGUGCGGGAUGACGGCCUUCGGGUUGUAAACCGCUUUCGCCUGUGACGAAGCGUGAGUGACGGUAAUGGGUAAAGAAGCACCGGCUAACUACGUGCCAGCAGCCGCGGUGAUACGUAGGGUGCGAGCGUUGUCCGGAUUUAUUGGGCGUAAAGGGCUCGUAGGUGGUUGAUCGCGUCGGAAGUGUAAUCUUGGGGCUUAACCCUGAGCGUGCUUUCGAUACGGGUUGACUUGAGGAAGGUAGGGGAGAAUGGAAUUCCUGGUGGAGCGGUGGAAUGCGCAGAUAUCAGGAGGAACACCAGUGGCGAAGGCGGUUCUCUGGGCCUUUCCUGACGCUGAGGAGCGAAAGCGUGGGGAGCGAACAGGCUUAGAUACCCUGGUAGUCCACGCUGUAAACGGUGGGUACUAGGUGUGGGGUCCAUUCCACGGGUUCCGUGCCGUAGCUAACGCUUUAAGUACCCCGCCUGGGGAGUACGGCCGCAAGGCUAAAACUCAAAGGAAUUGACGGGGCCCCGCACAAGCGGCGGAGCAUGCGGAUUAAUUCGAUGCAACGCGUAGAACCUUACCUGGGUUUGACAUGGAUCGGGAGUGCUCAGAGAUGGGUGUGCCUCUUUUGGGGUCGGUUCACAGGUGGUGCAUGGCUGUCGUCAGCUCGUGUCGUGAGAUGUUGGGUUAAGUCCCGCAACGAGCGCAACCCUUGUUCACUGUUGCCAGCACGUUAUGGUGGGGACUCAGUGGAGACCGCCGGGGUCAACUCGGAGGAAGGUGGGGAUGACGUCAAGUCAUCAUGCCCCUUAUGUCCAGGGCUUCACGCAUGCUACAAUGGCUGGUACAGAGAGUGGCGAGCCUGUGAGGGUGAGCGAAUCUCGGAAAGCCGGUCUCAGUUCGGAUUGGGGUCUGCAACUCGACCUCAUGAAGUCGGAGUCGCUAGUAAUCGCAGAUCAGCAACGCUGCGGUGAAUACGUUCCCGGG